This 253-nucleotide ribosomal RNA is filed under the name uncultured bacterium. Its description in RNAcentral is "partial 16S ribosomal RNA". It matches the Rfam family "Bacterial small subunit ribosomal RNA", at positions 524 to 776 of the family's 1533-position model. The record is from RNAcentral.
GACAGAGGUGGCGAGCGUUGUUCGGAAUUACUGGGCGUAAAGGGUGUGUAGGCGGUUGAAUAAGUCAGCGGUGAAAUCCUACGGCUUAACCGUAGAACUGCCGUUGAUACUGUUUGACUAGAGUGCAGGAGAGGAGGGUGGAAUUCCCGGUGUAGAGGUGAAAUUCGUAGAUAUCGGGAGGAACACCAGUGGCGAAGGCGGCCCUCUGGACUGUAACUGACGCUGAGACACGAAAGCGUGGGGAGCAAACAGG